GACGAACGCUGGCGGCGUGCUUAACACAUGCAAGUCGAACGGAAAGGCCCUGCUUUUGUGGGGUGCUCGAGUGGCGAACGGGUGAGUAACACGUGAGUAACCUGCCCUUGACUUUGGGAUAACUUCAGGAAACUGGGGCUAAUACCGGAUAGGAGCUCCUGGUGCAUGGUGGGGUUGGAAAGUUUCGGCGGUUGGGGAUGGACUCGCGGCUUAUCAGCUUGUUGGUGGGGUAGUGGCUUACCAAGGCUUUGACGGGUAGCCGGCCUGAGAGGGUGACCGGCCACAUUGGGACUGAGAUACGGCCCAGACUCCUACGGGAGGCAGCAGUGGGGAAUAUUGCACAAUGGGCGGAAGCCUGAUGCAGCAACGCCGCGUGCGGGAUGACGGCCUUCGGGUUGUAAACCGCUUUCGCCUGUGACGAAGCGUGAGUGACGGUAAUGGGUAAAGAAGCACCGGCUAACUACGUG
This 467-nucleotide ribosomal RNA is filed under the name uncultured bacterium. RNAcentral describes it as "partial 16S ribosomal RNA". It matches the Rfam family "Bacterial small subunit ribosomal RNA", at positions 28 to 507 of the family's 1533-position model. The record is from RNAcentral.